UACGUAGGUGGCGAGCGUUGUCCGGAAUUACUAGGCGUAAAGGGCAGGCAGGCGGAUCCAUAAGUUUAUCGUUUAAGGCGUCGGCUUAACCGGCGUAGGGCGGUAGAUACUGUGGAUCUGGAAUGCGGUUGGGGAAGACAGAAUUCCUGGUGUAGCGGUGGAAUGCGCAGAGAUCAGGAGGAAUACCGAAGGCGAAGGCAGUCUUCCAAGCCGUUAUUGACGCUCAACUGCGAAGGUGUGGGUAUCAAACAGGAUUAGAUACCCCUGUAGUCCCU
This 275-nucleotide ribosomal RNA is filed under the name uncultured prokaryote. RNAcentral describes it as "partial 16S ribosomal RNA". It matches the Rfam family "Bacterial small subunit ribosomal RNA", at positions 524 to 798 of the family's 1533-position model. The record is from RNAcentral.